GUUCCGGCUCCGGAAUUGUCAGAACCGGAACCGCCAGAACCGGGAACCGCCAGAACCGGAACCGCCAGAACCGGGAACCGCCAAAACCGGGAACCGCCAGAACCGGAACCGUUUACCCAAAUAGACCCAGAACCGGAACCGGAUACAGCCUGGCUAUGAAGUUAAGAUUAAGUUUUUGCUACUACUGACAAGUCCCGCUGUGUUCUGUCAAAAGAAUCAUACAAGCUUCCAUUAUUGUGACAGAAUGCAUUAGUAAAGAAGACAAACCAAAUAGUAUCACCAUGUUUUUAGCAAAGUUGAGUAAAUACAUUCAGUUUUACCACAAGAAAUUGGAUUAUACCAUCCUUGUGUACAGAUACACUAAGUGCUUUUUCCUUGAUGUUGAGAGAACUGUCAACCUUCAAGUGUAAUCUGUUUUUUCUUACAGAGUAUAAACAUAAUCGCUUUGAU
This 450-nucleotide long non-coding RNA is filed under the name Nicotiana benthamiana. RNAcentral describes it as "long non-coding RNA (NBEN_LNC012909)". Lineage: Eukaryota; Viridiplantae; Streptophyta; Magnoliopsida; Solanales; Solanaceae. The record is from RNAcentral.